Molecule: non-coding RNA, 104 nt
Organism: Rufibacter tibetensis
Lineage: Bacteria; Pseudomonadati; Bacteroidota; Cytophagia; Cytophagales; Hymenobacteraceae
Rfam family: Bacteroidales small SRP
About the family: The non-coding component of the signal recognition particle in Bacteroides
Source: Rfam
UUUGCAACGGCAAAUCGGUACGGCCAGCUCCUGCUGAACUCCCCCAGGCCCGGAAGGGAGCAAGGGUAGGUGGUUGAGCGGCGCGAUACUCGGUUUGCCGCUUU